This 843-nucleotide ribosomal RNA is filed under the name uncultured Verrucomicrobiota bacterium. Its description in RNAcentral is "bacterial SSU rRNA". It matches the Rfam family "Bacterial small subunit ribosomal RNA", at positions 58 to 889 of the family's 1533-position model. The record is from RNAcentral. Lineage: Bacteria; Pseudomonadati; Verrucomicrobiota.
CAAGUCGAACGCUUGAUUUCCGGUAGCAAUAUUGGGAGUCAGGAGUGGCGCAAGGGUGCGUAACACGUGGAUCAUCUGCCUGGAAGUUCGGAAUAAUUCGGCGAAAGCCGGACUAAUGCCGGAUGUGGUUGGAAGACUAAAGUUGGGGACCGCAAGGCCUGACGCUUCCAGAUGAGUCCGCGGCCUAUCAGCUAGUUGGCGGGGUAACGGCCCACCAAGGCGAAGACGGGUAGCUGGUCUGAGAGGACGACCAGCCUCACUGGAACUGAGACACGGUCCAGACACCUACGGGUGGCAGCAGUCGAGAAUUUUUCUCAAUGGGGGAAACCCUGAAGGAGCGACGCCGCGUGGGGGAUGAAGGGCUUCGGCCCGUAAACCCCUGUCAUUUGCGAACAAAUGUCAUGGUUGAACAUUCCAUGGCUUGAUUGUAGCGAAAGAGGAAGGGACGGCUAACUCUGUGCCAGCAGCCGCGGUAAUACAGAGGUCCCGAGCGUUGUUCGGAUUCACUGGGCGUAAAGGGUGCGCAGGUGGGUUUGCAAGUUUGAUGUGAAAGCCCCGGGCUUAACCCGGGAAUGGCAUUGAAUACUGCAGAUCUGGAGGAUUGGAGGGGGGACUGGAAUUCUUGGUGUAGCAGUGAAAUGCGUAGAUAUCAAGAGGAACACCAGUGGCGAAGGCGAGUCCCUGGACAAUACCUGACACUGAGGCACGAAAGCCAAGGGAGCAAACAGGAUUAGAUACCCUGGUAGUCUUGGCUGUAAACGGUGCGCAUUUGCUGUAAACGGAAUCGACCCCGUCUGUGGCGAAGCUAACGCGAUAAAUGCGCCGCCUGGGAAGUACGGUCGC